This 491-nucleotide ribosomal RNA is filed under the name uncultured bacterium. RNAcentral's name for it is "partial 16S ribosomal RNA". It matches the Rfam family "Bacterial small subunit ribosomal RNA", at positions 29 to 507 of the family's 1533-position model. The record is from RNAcentral.
AGUGAACGCUGGCGGUAGGCCUAACACAUGCAAGUCGAACGGCAGCACAGUAAGAGUUUGCUCUUACGGGUGGCGAGUGGCGGACGGGUGAGGAAUACAUCGGAAUCUACUUUUUCGUGGGGGAUAACGUAGGGAAACUUACGCUAUAACGCAUAAGACCCACGGGUAUAAUAAGAGGGUAUUCGACUCUUAUGCGAUUUAAUGAGCCCAUGUCGGAUUAGCUUGUUGGCGGGGUAAAGGGCCACCAAGGCGACGAUCCGUAGCUGGUCUGAGAGGAUGAUCAGCCACACUGGAACUGAGACACGGUCCAGACUCCUACGGGAGGCAGCAGUGGGGAAUAUUGGACAAUGGGCGCAAGCCUGAUCCAGCCAUACCGCGUGGGUGAAGAAGGCCUUCGGGUUGUAAAGCCCUUUUGUUGGGAAAGAAAAGCAGCAGGUUAAUACCCCGCUGUUCUGACGGUACCCAAAGAAUAAGCACCGGCUAACUUCGUG